CUCUGCCGCAAGUGCCAAUCCACUCUCAAAACACACCCUUUCUCAAGUGCCCCCCUUCUACGCUUUUGCGUUCUUUUAAUCCAACUUGUCAGAUUGAAAUGUGAUCCGUUCCUCGUUCCCUGUUACCAAGCCUAUUUCUUUUU
Molecule: non-coding RNA, 143 nt
Organism: Caenorhabditis elegans
Lineage: Eukaryota; Metazoa; Nematoda; Chromadorea; Rhabditida; Rhabditidae
Source: Ensembl